CCUACGGGUGGCAGCAGUGGGGAAUAUUGCACAAUGGGGGAAACCCUGAUGCAGCGACGCCGCGUGAGUGAAGAAGUAAUUCGUUAUGUAAAGCUCUAUCAGCAGGGAAGAAAAUGACGGUACCUGAGUAAGAAGCACCGGCUAACUACGUGACAGCAGCCGCGGUAAUAAGUAGGGGGCAAGCGUUAUCCGGAUUUAAUGGGUGAAAAGGGAGCGUAGACGGCAGUGCAAGUCUGGAGUGAAAGGCGGGGGCUCAAACCCCGGACUGCGCUGGAAACUGGAGGGCAGGAGUGCAGGAGGGGUAAGUUGAAUUCCUAGUGGAGCGGUGAAAUGCGUAGAUAUUAGGAGGAACACCAGUGGCGAAGGCGGCUUACUGGACUGUAACUGACGUGGAGGCUCGAAAGCGUGGGGAGCAAACAGGAUUAGAUACCCGUGUAGUC
Molecule: ribosomal RNA, 440 nt
Filed under: uncultured bacterium
Lineage: Bacteria
Description: partial 16S ribosomal RNA
Rfam family: Bacterial small subunit ribosomal RNA
Source: RNAcentral